Molecule: ribosomal RNA, 426 nt
Filed under: uncultured bacterium
Lineage: Bacteria
Description: bacterial SSU rRNA
Rfam family: Bacterial small subunit ribosomal RNA
Source: RNAcentral
GUGGGGAAUAUUGCACAAUGGGGGAAACCCUGAUGCAGCGACGCCGCGUGAGCGAAGAAGUAUUUCGGUAUGUAAAGCUCUAUCAGCAGGGAAGAAAAUGACGGUACCUGACUAAGAAGCACCGGCUAAAUACGUGCCAGCAGCCGCGGUAAUACGUAUGGUGCAAGCGUUAUCCGGAUUUACUGGGUGUAAAGGGAGCGUAGACGGCUGUGUAAGUCUGAAGUGAAAGCCCGGGGCUCAACCCCGGGACUGCUUUGGAAACUAUGCAGCUAGAGUGUCGGAGAGGUAAGUGGAAUUCCCAGUGUAGCGGUGAAAUGCGUAGAUAUUGGGAGGAACACCAGUGGCGAAGGCGGCUUACUGGACGAUGACUGACGUUGAGGCUCGAAAGCGUGGGGAGCAAACAGGAUUAGAAACCCUAGUAGUCCC